UCUUCUCCUAAAUAUGGGGAGUUCUUCCACCUGUAAGAAGACUUUACAGCGGCUCGACUCUGGCUAGCAGAGAGAAACAAAGGGAACAUUGACGAAGGAAAUAUAUGCAUAGAAGACUAAAUGAAGGAUGUUGCUACAAUGUGUUUAACACAUUAAAUUACGCUAGGCAUGGGAAGCUGUGUGGCAUUUCAGAUGUUAGAUUCCAACUUCCAAGGAUCCUGGACAGUAUAUGCAAUGUUGAGUGAUGAUGGGAAUUAUCAUCCAAAAUAUUGGAGGGGAACAGGCUCAGCAUAUCUGGAGGGCCAGUGUUUGCAGAUGGAUGGAUGCACUCCUCUGAGGGGGACAGCAUCCUAUUCUGGUUGGCAUGGAGAGCAAAGGCGACAUCAGCGAGUCCCCAUUUGGGAUAAGGGAGACGGCAACCUUGGAGUGGAAAGGUAGAAGUGAAAAAAAUGCCUAUGUGGAUCUGAACAAUGCACCAACCUGUGUUGAAGACGGAAAAGAGAGAAAAGCCUGAUGUAUGUGCCAUCUAUAGGUUGACCACCUACCCUUGAGAAUUUUUUCCAAAUGUGUUAAAAUGUUGUUAGGGUCUAUUGGUUGAAAACAUGGUUGAAAAACCUGUGACUCUCCAGAAAAGAGGGUGAGGGCUCCAGCUGUUAUCAGCCACAGUGAACAUUCCUAUUUGACAGCAACAUUCUCAAGCAAGAAUUUUGCACACACAAAAAAUGCCUUCUGUUUUGCAUUAGAACCUUAUAGCAUGUGCAAAAUGCAAGGUUUUCUGCACCAGGUACAGAUUUUUGUACACAAAAAAAGACUUCCACAAUCCUUUUUCAUUUGCAUGGUAACUGCCAUUGAGGAAGAAUGCCAACAAAGUCACUCGAAUGGGAGAUGUGUGUAUAACUUAAGGUGAAGAAUUUCUUGAUUUCUGGCUCCUCUCGGGCACUCAAGCAGGAAAACAUUGCAACAUUCCUUUUAUCAAGUCACUUUUCUUUCUGACCUUGAUUUUGCAGUGCAAACUUUGUGUUCAUGUCAAAUGUUAACAAAGGUAAAAAGAUUGGUGCAUUUACCCACUGCUACACAUGUUGUUCACCCUCUCUUUGUGAGUUCAACCUGUCAUCCCACUUGUGAUCUGUGAUAUGCCCACACGAGGAAGUGCGAAUCAUUCAUUUUGAUGGCGUUUAGGCGAGUUUUUGUUCAAUAUUUUCCUACUGUGGCUCAGGAAUGCGUGCAGGAUUCAUUUCUCACUAGACAUAUUGUGAAAUGCAUAACAGUUCCUGCAAGGGAACUUGGAGACUAGUGACAAUGUAUUUGAGGCUUCAGCUCAUGUCCAGAACCUCAUAACACAAUUUUCUGGGGGAUGGUGAAUGAGCUGAUUUUGUCGUUCAUAAUUUGCUCAUUGCAUUAUGACUACAGUGCUUUAUAUUUAUAGAAAGGUUUGCUGCUAUUUUGCUACAUGAUCCUUGUGUAUUUGCAUAUGGGUUUUAGGAAAUGCAUCAUAGGAGUGAGACAUGGUUAAUAGGAUGGUGUGUCCCGCCUUAUGCAUGCCAUGAUACAUCGAUCUCUUACACACUCUUAACAUCUGUACAUUGUACAUAUAAUCCACAUGUGACCAUGCAAUAAGAUGGCAGAGGCUGAAUGCAGAGCACAAUGGUGCACAAAAUCUAAAUUAAUCUAUAAACAAUCUCCAUUUCAAUUAAGAAAUGAAUAUUACAAUUGGUUGAAACUAGUCUAGGCUAGCUAUGUAUUCAAGGUUUAGAUAUGAUUUAAUAAAUUCUAUUGUCACUGCUAUCUCA
Pogona vitticeps (central bearded dragon) is the source of this 1790-nucleotide long non-coding RNA. The record is from Ensembl. Lineage: Eukaryota; Metazoa; Chordata; Lepidosauria; Squamata; Agamidae.